Molecule: long non-coding RNA, 1437 nt
Organism: Papaver somniferum (opium poppy)
Lineage: Eukaryota; Viridiplantae; Streptophyta; Magnoliopsida; Ranunculales; Papaveraceae
Exons: 5
Source: RefSeq, a predicted model, not a curated record
UUUUAUAUCAGUAUAUUGAUUAAAUCGUCUCAGUAGAAAUGUAGAUUCUUAUGAAUCCAACAACUACAAUUAAAAUCAAAUCAAAACUAAACCAAUUGUUCUGAGUUUUCUUUCUUCUCUUCUUCUUCUUCUUCUUCAACGACAACAUGGAUAAUGAGAAGAUCGUGUUACAAACCCUAGAUAUGGGAUUUUGUAAUCGCUGGAAUUGAUGAUUAUAUGGAGCAGAGGGGAAAGGGAAAAAAAAGAAGAAGAGAGAAGUUCAAUAGAAGUGGUGGUGGUGGUUUUUCUUAACUUCAUAAGAAAAGAUGAACAUCCCAAAACUUGGUAGGAUGAGUUUUCUAGAAACACUACUGGCAUGGGUUUUCAUUUGUGUUAUUCAUGUACAAUAUGUAUUGAUGGGGUUUUAUUAUGAUUUAUGUUGAUCUUGUUUGUUGUGUUUAUUAUGCAGUGUAAUUAGAUUCGAAUCUACUGAGGUUAUAUAUAGAAUGUUUCUAGGGUAAUGUAUUCUUAAAUGAAUUUGUUUUUAUCAUUAAUGUUCAUUGUCGUAUAUUCGUGUAAAAGCAUUUUAGAGCUCUUCUUAUCAAUGGGAUUAAAUCUCCACAGUGAGAUAGAAGGACAAUCACAUUGGAAUUUACUAAGAAUGAUUUUAUUAAGCAAGGCAAUGAUUGGUGGGAUAAGAACGAUUUUACCAAGCAAGGCAAUGAUUGUAGGCAUGAACUGUUUCAGGUUUUGGUCGAAUCAGUGACUUAGUGAGUGAGUUUGGAAAAUUGGUGGUUGAUCCAAAAACCAAUGAACUUCUGCAGUUCAUGGAGAAACCCGAGACUUUUGUAUGUACAAGCCCCUAAAAUUAGCUGACUUUUUCGAUCAUAUUUAAGUCACACGGUGUUUCAUAUUCAAGUGGUUGGUUCUGUUUCUCUUUAUAACGUGUUUUAAUGAGCAGACGUACUCACUCAUUGCAGUAUGAAUUUGAAUUAGAUCAUGUCCUGGAACACAUACAAUAAUGUGGGUACCUAAAUUGUGUUGCUCACUGAACUAGCAGGACCAGAGCUAAUCAUGGACGUUUAUCCACCUUUUUUGUUCAGUCUGCAACAAAGUAAGGCCAUUCCCUACUGAUUUACGAAGACUAAAUGAAGAUAUCAUGUCACCUCUUGCUGGGAAGACAAGUAGCUUUAUACUUAUGUGAAGUUAUAUUUCUUGGAACACAUCAAAACUCCUAAGAAGGCCAAUCUGCAAGUAAAGGAAUGUCACAUCAUCCAUCUGUUUUACUUGUUUUAGUUUUAUUUUUUAACGUCCAACAAUUGUUUGUUGGAAUCUAGGUACUAGUCUUGAAUUUUUGUUGUGUUUAGAUUUUCUUUGUGUUGCUUCCAGUUGCUAGAAUGUAAUAAAUUUUGACCCUGUAAUUCUUUUUUGAAUGAAUAAACGUGUUGUUUGAAUGGU